Molecule: ribosomal RNA, 1536 nt
Filed under: Staphylococcus devriesei
Lineage: Bacteria; Bacillati; Bacillota; Bacilli; Caryophanales; Staphylococcaceae
Description: bacterial SSU rRNA
Rfam family: Bacterial small subunit ribosomal RNA
Source: RNAcentral
AGUUUGAUCCCUGGCUCAGGAUGAACGCUGGCGGCGUGCCUAAUACAUGCAAGUCGAGCGAACAGAUAAGGAGCUUGCUCCUUUGACGUUAGCGGCGGACGGGUGAGUAACACGUGGGUAACCUACCUAUAAGACUGGGAUAACUUCGGGAAACCGGAGCUAAUACCGGAUAAUAUUUCGAACCGCAUGGUUCGAUAGUGAAAGAUGGUUUUGCUAUCACUUAUAGAUGGAUCCGCGCCGUAUUAGCUAGUUGGUAAGGUAACGGCUUACCAAGGCAACGAUACGUAGCCGACCUGAGAGGGUGAUCGGCCACACUGGAACUGAGACACGGUCCAGACUCCUACGGGAGGCAGCAGUAGGGAAUCUUCCGCAAUGGGCGAAAGCCUGACGGAGCAACGCCGCGUGAGUGAUGAAGGUCUUCGGAUCGUAAAACUCUGUUAUUAGGGAAGAACAUACGUGUAAGUAACUAUGCACGUCUUGACGGUACCUAAUCAGAAAGCCACGGCUAACUACGUGCCAGCAGCCGCGGUAAUACGUAGGUGGCAAGCGUUAUCCGGAAUUAUUGGGCGUAAAGCGCGCGUAGGCGGUUUUUUAAGUCUGAUGUGAAAGCCCACGGCUCAACCGUGGAGGGUCAUUGGAAACUGGAAAACUUGAGUGCAGAAGAGGAAAGUGGAAUUCCAUGUGUAGCGGUGAAAUGCGCAGAGAUAUGGAGGAACACCAGUGGCGAAGGCGACUUUCUGGUCUGUAACUGACGCUGAUGUGCGAAAGCGUGGGGAUCAAACAGGAUUAGAUACCCUGGUAGUCCACGCCGUAAACGAUGAGUGCUAAGUGUUAGGGGGUUUCCGCCCCUUAGUGCUGCAGCUAACGCAUUAAGCACUCCGCCUGGGGAGUACGACCGCAAGGUUGAAACUCAAAGGAAUUGACGGGGACCCGCACAAGCGGUGGAGCAUGUGGUUUAAUUCGAAGCAACGCGAAGAACCUUACCAAAUCUUGACAUCCUUUGACCGCUCUAGAGAUAGAGUUUUCCCCUUCGGGGGACAAAGUGACAGGUGGUGCAUGGUUGUCGUCAGCUCGUGUCGUGAGAUGUUGGGUUAAGUCCCGCAACGAGCGCAACCCUUAAACUUAGUUGCCAGCAUUCAGUUGGGCACUCUAAGUUGACUGCCGGUGACAAACCGGAGGAAGGUGGGGAUGACGUCAAAUCAUCAUGCCCCUUAUGAUUUGGGCUACACACGUGCUACAAUGGACAAUACAAAGGGCAGCGAAACCGCGAGGUCAAGCAAAUCCCAUAAAGUUGUUCUCAGUUCGGAUUGUAGUCUGCAACUCGACUACAUGAAGCUGGAAUCGCUAGUAAUCGUAGAUCAGCAUGCUACGGUGAAUACGUUCCCGGGUCUUGUACACACCGCCCGUCACACCACGAGAGUUUGUAACACCCGAAGCCGGUGGAGUAACCAUUUUGGAGCUAGCCGUCGAAGGUGGGACAAAUGAUUGGGGUGAAGUCGUAACAAGGUAGCCGUAUCGGAAGGUGCGGCUGGAUCA